This 1302-nucleotide ribosomal RNA is filed under the name Triticum aestivum (bread wheat). RNAcentral describes it as "partial small subunit ribosomal RNA". The record is from RNAcentral. Lineage: Eukaryota; Viridiplantae; Streptophyta; Magnoliopsida; Poales; Poaceae.
AUGGCGGCGGUAGAAUUCGGCCCUCACGAGAAGAUGACGCUCGACGCGGAGCUGCUGCAAGUGCUAACCGCCGGCGACAAGGUCUGCAUGGAGGAGAUACUGAGCAGACAAGACCAUGGUGCCGGCCACCGCCGCCAGCAAACAGCCGCCCAGGGCCACGUCGCGGUAAACGUCCAUGGCGCGGCACCGGGCCGCUUUCUUCUAGGCGUGGCGAGCAACGGGAACACGGCUUUGCACCUUGUCGCCAGCCGCGGUCACGUCGAGCUGGCGACGCUCCUCUGCGAGAGGGCGCCCUCGCUGGCCGCCGCGCGCAACAAGUGCCUCGACACGCCGCUGCACUGCGCGGCGAGGUUCGGGCACGCGGAUGUGGCGGCUGUCCUCCUGCCGAGGAUGCGGGACGGCGCGGCGGAGGAGGAGUCCGCGCUGCGCGCGAGGAACCAGUCGGGCGCAACCGCCUUGUACGAAGCCGUCCGGCACGGGCGUGCCGGUGUGGUGGAUCUGCUCAUGACGGAGGUUCCCGAUCUGGCCUCCGUUGACGGCGACGAGGGUGUCUCGCCGCUCUACCUGGCGGCGUCGACUGACUCGCUCCAGAUGGUCCGCGCGCUGCUACGCCCGUCAGAAAACGGAACACCCUCGCCGGCGUCGUUUUCUGGUCCGGAGGGACGGACUGCUUUGCAUGCUGCGGCGGCUAGUAGCAGAGAAAUGGCUGAAGCAAUACUGAGCUGGGGGCCAGAAGGUCCAACGUUGCUAACCAGGCUUGAUUCGUCAGGGAGCACGCCUCUCCAUUUUGCAGUACUGUAUGGACGGCUUGAUGUAGUUGUGCUAUUCCUUGAUGGCCAUGCUUCGCUCGGGCUGGCUAGCAUUUCUGAUGGCAACGGGUCAUUUCCUCUGCACAUUGCCGCUAUGGUGGGACGAGCUAGAAUCAUGGAGGAGCUCAUACACCGAAUCCCUGACUGCUAUGAGAUGGUUGAUGGUAAAGGAAGAAAUAUUCUGCACUGUGCUGUGGAGCAUUGUCGGGUAACCGUGGUUCGCCAUAUUUGCCGGAAUGACAUGUUCUCGAUGCUGUGGAAUGCUACGGAUUCUGGAGGGAACACUCCACUCCAUCUGGCUGCCAAUCAUGGAUAUCCGAAGAUUGUCAUUUUACUACUGGAGACGACAAGUGUGGAGAUAGGCAUUACCAACAACGAUGGGACUAACUGCUAUGGAUCUUGCUCACCGUGCAAUAGCACCCGGCCGGAUAUACUAUUUCCUGGUAUUUCAAACAAGUCUUGGAUGCUAUUGGGGAGCUCAGAGGAGAGAUGA